GUUAAAGAGUGAUGCAUACAGUGUUUGAGCAGUCUGUCUAGGAAUAGAACAACAACUGAAGUUGAUGGAAGAUACUGCAGAGUUUGGCAGGGAAAUAAUCCAACAGCAAAGCGGCUCUUUAAGCGCAUUUACCUAAAGGACUUACAGGGCCACAAAUUCAUGAGCACAUGUGAGCAGUAUACAAUGUACCUCAUACCAAAAAGAACCCGGAGGCAGUGACUGGUGUUCAAUAUUCUCAGAAGAAAAGGAAAAUGGCAGUGGAAGACUUGGACAAACAUUUUUAAAAACUAGCCUCUGUGUUAAGCCUGGCAGUCUGUGGCUGGUGACAUGUUUUAUUUUGGUUACUUCUUGUAUAAAAAAGACCAGUUAUUUAUUUUGUGAAUUGUAUUUUGUGUUUGUUUUUUGUCUUAAUUUAUUAUAUUUUUUUAAUUUAGGAAUUUGAAACUUGGAUAAUUGAAUAAAGUCCGUGUUCAACAUUACUGAGCAUAGUAUAAUAAAUAACAAAUUUACAACAAUUGUUAAUUUGUUAUGUAUUAUUAUUAACUAUGCUCAGUACUUGAAUACUGGCUGUCUGCAUGCGAAUUUGUUUUCUAGAAAGUUGGUUUCAAACUUAAAUAUUUGAAGUUAACCUUCGGAACUUUUCUAGAAUUGUACUGGAACACAUCAACUAAAACUGAACUUCUGUUAUCAUACUGAAAGUGUUCUAGAAUUAAUAAGGAACAGUUGUUGAACGUUAAAAUUUAUGAGAAAAAACUUGAGAACAAUUGUGCGUGAUGUGUGUGUGUGCAUGUAAUUGUGUGUGUUUAUGAACAUAUGUGAGAAAGGAAGUAUACUUGUCAUAAGAGAAAUGUAAAAUUCUACUUCUAUGUUUUAUAUUGUGCCUUUUAUAAGUUUUUCUUUUCUCACCUGUAUAUGUGUGCAUGUUUAUGGAUGUGUUUUUGAAUGUGUGCAUGCAUGCCUGUGGUUAAGAGAGUUGGUACUUUAAGAAAAUGUAAAACCACUCAUUUUUGAAUAUGUACUGUGACUGCACGUGUGUGAUU
Molecule: long non-coding RNA, 1040 nt
Organism: Dreissena polymorpha
Lineage: Eukaryota; Metazoa; Mollusca; Bivalvia; Myida; Dreissenidae
Exons: 3
Source: RefSeq, a predicted model, not a curated record